AACGUAGGUGGCGAGCGUUAUCCGGAUUUACUGGGCGUAAAACGCGUGCAGGCGGUCUGGUAAGUCGGGCGUGAAAUCUCUCGGCUCAACCGAGAGAGGUCGUCCGAUACUACCGGACUUGAGGGCAGUAGAGGAAGGUGGAAUUCCCGGUGUAGUGGUGAAAUGCGUAGAUAUCGGGAGGAACACCAGUAGCGAAAGCGAUUCUCUGGUCCAGUUCUGACGUUGAACUGCGAAAGCUAGGGGAGCAAACAGG
Molecule: ribosomal RNA, 253 nt
Filed under: uncultured bacterium
Lineage: Bacteria
Description: partial 16S ribosomal RNA
Rfam family: Bacterial small subunit ribosomal RNA
Source: RNAcentral